UGCACUAACCACUGUAAGUCGCUCUGGAUAAGAGCGUCAUGCUAAAUGACUCAAA
Non-coding RNA from Salmo salar (Atlantic salmon), 55 nucleotides. NCBI's taxonomy places the organism in Eukaryota, Metazoa, Chordata, Actinopteri, Salmoniformes, Salmonidae. The record is from Rfam.